GUGCCAGCAGCCGCGGUAAUACAGAGGGUGCAAGCGUUGUCCGGAAUGAUUGGGCGUAAAGCAUCUGUAGGUGGUUUCUAAAGUCAACUGUUAAAUCCCAGAGCUAAACUUUGGCCAAGCAGUUGAGUACUUAGAGACUUGAGUACGGUAGGGGUAGAGGGCAUUCCUUGUUUAGCGGUGAAAUGCAUAGAGAUAAGGAAGAACACCAGUGGCGAAAGCGCUCUACUGGGCCGUAACUGGCACUGAGAGAUGAAAGUUAGGGGAGCGAAAAGGAUUAGAUACCCUUGUAGUCCUAACUGUAAACGAUGGAUACUAAGUGCUGUCAAAAACAGUGCUGUAGCUAACGCGUUAAGUAUCCCGCCUGGGGAGUAUGCUCGCAAGAGUGAAACUCAAAUGAAUUGACGGGG
This 407-nucleotide ribosomal RNA is filed under the name uncultured cyanobacterium. RNAcentral's name for it is "bacterial SSU rRNA". It matches the Rfam family "Bacterial small subunit ribosomal RNA", at positions 505 to 918 of the family's 1533-position model. The record is from RNAcentral. Lineage: Bacteria; Bacillati; Cyanobacteriota.